CAGUAGCCGCGGGAAUACAGAGGGUGCGAGCGUUAAUCGGAUUUACUGGGCGUAAAGCGUGCGUAGGCGGCUUCUUAAGUCGGAUGUGAAAUCCCUGAGCUUAACUUAGGAAUUGCAUUUGAUACUGGGAAGCUAGAGUAUGGGAGAGGAUGGUAGAAUUCCAGGUGUAGCGGUGAAAUGCGUAGAGAUCUGGAGGAAUACCGAUGGCGAAGGCAGCCAUCUGGCCUAAUACUGACGCUGAGGUACGAAAGCAUGGGGAGCAAACAGGAUUAGAUACCCCAGUAGUCCCUGUCUCUUAUAC
This 301-nucleotide ribosomal RNA is filed under the name uncultured bacterium. RNAcentral describes it as "partial 16S ribosomal RNA". It matches the Rfam family "Bacterial small subunit ribosomal RNA", at positions 509 to 807 of the family's 1533-position model. The record is from RNAcentral.